RNAcentral lists this ribosomal RNA (775 nucleotides) under uncultured Neocallimastigales. Its description in RNAcentral is "partial large subunit ribosomal RNA". The stretch from base 2 to 693 matches the Rfam family "Eukaryotic large subunit ribosomal RNA", at positions 24 to 664 of the family's 3401-position model. Lineage: Eukaryota; Fungi; Neocallimastigomycota; Neocallimastigomycetes; Neocallimastigales. The record is from RNAcentral.
ACACGCAUGACACACUGCAUAUCAAUAAGCGGAGGAAAAGAAACUAACAAGGAUUCCCUUAGUAACGGCGAGUGAAGCGGGAAGAGCUCAAAUUUGAAAUCUUCAAGGUUUUACCUUGACGAAUUGUAGUUUAAAGAAGUGUUUUCUGUUGGAGUUUUGGUAAAAGUUCUUUGGAAUAGGACAUCAUAGAGGGUGAGAAUCCCGUAUUUGACCAUUAUUUCCAGCUGUGUGAUACACUUUCAAAGAGUCGGAUUGUUUGGGAAUGCAGUCCAAAAUGGGUGGUAAAUUUCAUCUAAAGCUAAAUAUUGGCGAGAGACCGAUAGCGAACAAGUACCGUGAGGGAAAGAUGAAAAGAACUUUGAAAAGAGAGUUAAACAGUACGUGAAAUUGUCAAAAGGGAAGCGUUUGACACCAGUGUUGUUUUCUCGAAAAUCAAUUAAAAAUGAUGGGAUUUUGUGUUGUAUUGACUUUAUCAGCUUUCUGCACUCUUUUCUUAUCUUUUUUAAUGCACUUUUCGUUUAACAAGUCAACAUCAAUUUCUUUUGUUGUAAAAGAGUCAUUGGAAGGUGGCUUUUCUUUCGGAAAAAGUGUUUAUAGCCUUUGGCUUCUGCAAUCGGAGAGAUUGAGGUCUGCAGCGUAGAUCCUUCGGGGUUAGAUACAUUUGUGCUAAGCUAUAGUUCUUUAUAGACAACUUAGUUGACUAUAAUCAAUCCUGUAACUUACUCGCUUAUGCUAUUUUACCUACGCUUAGGAUGUUGAAGACUCUACAGAGAUA